UUUUUCCCUAAGGAGGCUAGGCAAUAAUUCUCUCUUUAUGUCUCUCUCAAUGUUUCUUUCUCCCCCCUGAUUGGUGUGAUGUCAUUAUUGCGUGAACCGGGUGGAAAGGCCAGGGGGGCCCGGAAAGAGUGGAUUUUAGCAGGAGUUAUUACCUGCACCGGGUGUAUCUUAUUUUAUGCACCAUACUCCUAAAUACUCAUAUAAAGAUACAAUAACGGAGGCUUCAAAAUCAAACCUUGAUUCAUGUUAGGAUUUGGUUAGAUUUGUAGUUGAAUCCUAUUUAGAUAAGAAUUAAUAUUUAAAUCUGUUGGAGAUAAAUUAAGAUUUAAAUAUUAAUUAGAGGAUAAACCUAACUAGAUUAGGACUAAUAUUUAAAUCUAUUAGAGAUUGAUUAAGAUAGAUUUAGAUAUUAAUUGGAGUAGAAAUCCUAAAUAUAUUAGGAUUGGGGUACGUUUUAGUGGAGCCUUAUAAAUAGCUCUUUGUGGGUUUGCUUUUGAGGUGAGUACGGGAGAGAGAAAAAAGAGCUCUUGGGUGCCGUACUAGAGAGAGAAAAAGAGAGAGAGAGUUAUUCAAUGAGUUGAGUGCAUCUAGUGCACGGGUGCGCGUGGAUGAUUGUCUUCUUUGUGGGAUCAUAGAAGACGAGAGAAGGGUAGAAGAAAUUCAAAAAAGAGGGCUCGAGUUGUAGCUACUCUGUUGCAGAAGAGGAGUCAGGUGUAAUCUUCUCUUAUUUAAUGAAUCUUAUUUUACCUGCAUAUGUUUCUCUUUUAUGAUUGUAUCAGCUUUUGCUGAGGAGACGGGUUUAUGGUCAAAACCCGAUUUGACGUUUCCGUUGCGGAAUCCCAACAAUCGAUACCGGAUCCACAGCAGUCGGUAUUGGAGCGGAUUGCGGAUUCACGAGAUCCGGUACCGGGGCGAGUACCCGAUUCCCAACAAGUGGUAUCAGAGCCGAAGGUUACCGAUUUGCCGGAGAGAUCGACGGAGAUGGCCACGAAAUUCGAAAUCGAGAAGUUCGACGGCAAGAACAAUUUCGGAUUAUGGCAAAUUAAAGUACGAGCAAUCCUCGUACAGCAAGAGUUAGACGAGACGUUGAACGGGAAGGAGGCAAAGCCGGCGGAGGUCACGGAUGUGGCAUGGACGAAGAUGGAGCGGAAGGCGCUGAGUACGCUUCAUCUAUCAUUAGCAGAUGAGGUUCUUUACAAUGUAGCCGGCGAGACGACACCGGCGAAAUUGUGGAAGAAAUUGGAAGAUCUGUACAUGACCAAAUCCCUGACGAACAGAUUGUAUCUGAAGCAGCGACUGUUUACGUUGCGGAUGCAAGAAGCGGCGAGCCUACAUGAUCAUCUAAAUGAGUUCAACAAGGUGGUGGCCCAGUUGACCAGCAUCGGAGUCAAUCUGGAUGACGAAGACAAGGCGUUGAUCCUACUAUCUUCGCUGCCGACGGCAUAUGAGCAUCUGGUGACCACGUUGCUUUAUGGCAAGGAGUCCAUAAGCGUAGAGGCGGUCACAGCGGCGCUUCUUUCGAACAAGAUGCGGAAGAUGACUCAGGAGUCCGGCAUACAGAGCCGGGAUACAGCUUUGGUGGUGAGAACGAAGAAGGUGGCGACAACAUCAGCGACCGGAGAUCGACAGAAAAAGCCGCUAUCUGAGGUGGAGUGCUUUUACUAUCACAGGAAAGGGCAUAUAAAGUGCAACUGUCGAAAACUUCAGGAUGAUUUGAAGAAGUUAAAGCGACAGAAGGAGAAAACUGUCGUGAAUCAGGACGAGAUGGUAUCAGCGACGGCACAGACGGCAGAGUCGGAGAUGUUCGAUUCUGAUGUGCUAUAUGCGGCGACCGGAGGUGCGAAAAUUUCGGACGAUGUGUGGGUUCUCGAUUCGGCGUAUUCUUUUCACGUAUGCCCGGAGAAGGAGUCUUUUGCCACCUAUAAGGCGACCAAAGGUGGAAAGGCGCUGAUGGGGAACGGGACAGCGUGCAAAGUAUUGGGGGUCGGCAUGGUGAAAAUCCGAAUGCACGAUGGGGUUGUGAGGACGUUGACAGGUGUGCGGCACGUUCCUGGAUUGAAGCGGAAUUUGAUCUCGUUAGGCUCAUUGGACUCGAAGGGUUGCGAUAUUUCAGCUUCAGGUGGAGCUAUGAGGGUCCAAAAACGAGAUCGGAUCGUGUGCGAGGCGAACAAGCGUGGGAACUUAUACGUUCUGAACGGAAGCACAGUCAGAACGGGAGCGAAAACGGUUUGGGUUCCAAAAGUUCGCGGAUGUGCAGUUGCUCGAGAUGGAGCGACGGAUGCGGCGACAUCGAGCGGAGGAGACAAGCUCAAGGUGGAGUUUGCAUGGUGAGCUCGACGUAGCGGUUGAAAAUUACAAAUCAAACCAAGGUGGAGAAUGUUAGGAUUUGGUUAGAUUUGUAGUUGAAUCCUAUUUAGAUAAGAAUUAAUAUUUAAAUCUGUUGGAGAUAAAUUAAGAUUUAAAUAUUAAUUAGAGGAUAAACCUAACUAGAUUAGGAUUAAUAUUUAAAUCUAUUAGAGAUUGAUUAAGAUAGAUUUAGAUAUUAAUUGGAGUAGAAAUCCUAAAUAUAUUAGGAUUGGGGUACGUUUUAGUGGAGCCUUAUAAAUAGCUCUUUGUGGGUUUGCUUUUGAGGUGAGUACGGGAGAGAGAAAAAAGAGCUCUUGGGUGCCGUACCAGAGAGAGAAAAAGAGAGAGAGAAAGUUAUCCAAUGAGUUGAGUGCACCUAGUGCACGGGUGCGCGUGGAUGAUUGUCUUCUUUGUGGGAUCAUAGAAGACGAGAGAAGGGUAGAAGAGAUUCAAAAAAGAGGGCUCGAGUUGUAGCCACUCUGUUGCAGAAGAGGAGUCAGGUGUAAUCUUCUCUUAUUUAAUGAAUCUUAUUUUACCUGCAUAUGUUUCUCUUUUAUGAUUGUAUCAGCUUUUGCUGAGGAGACGGGUUUAUGGUAAAAACCCGAUUUGACGUUUCCGUUGCGGAAUCCCAACAAUCGAUACCGGAUCCACAGCAGUCGGUAUCGGAGCGGGUUGCGGAUUCACGAGAUCCGGUACCGGGGCGAGUACCGG
Molecule: long non-coding RNA, 3057 nt
Filed under: Ananas comosus (pineapple)
Lineage: Eukaryota; Viridiplantae; Streptophyta; Magnoliopsida; Poales; Bromeliaceae
Description: long non-coding RNA (ACOM_LNC022132)
Source: RNAcentral